Molecule: ribosomal RNA, 484 nt
Filed under: uncultured bacterium
Lineage: Bacteria
Description: bacterial SSU rRNA
Rfam family: Bacterial small subunit ribosomal RNA
Source: RNAcentral
GACGAACGCUGGCGGCAUGCCUAAUACAUGCAAGUCGAACGAACCAAACUGAAGAUUGAUGCUUGCAUCAUGAUUCAGACCUUGGUGAGUGGCGGACGGGUGAGUAACACGUGGGUAACCUGCCCAAAAGUGGGGGAUAACAUUUGGAAACAAGUGCUAAUACCGCAUAACAACUACUUUCACAUGAUCGUAGCUUGAAAGAUGGCUCUGCUAUCGCUUUUGGAUGGACCCGCGGCGUAUUAGCUAGUUGGUGAGGUAAUAGCUCACCAAGGCAAUGAUACGUAGCCGACCUGAGAGGGUAAUCGGCCACAUUGGGACUGAGACACGGCCCAAACUCCUACGGGAGGCAGCAGUAGGGAAUCUUCCACAAUGGGCGAAAGCCUGAUGGAGCAAUGCCGCGUGAGUGAAGAAGGUUUUCGGAUCGUAAAACUCUGUUGUUGAAGAAGAACAUGCGUGAGAGUAACUGUUCACGUACUGACGGUAU